UGCAAAAUUGGUGCUGCUACGGACAUGUCAAGCGGAAGAAGGGAGCUUGCUCCCCGAGGGUAGCGAAUGACGGGCGAAUAACACGUGGGUAACCUGCCUGUAAGACUGGGAUAACUCCGGGAAACCGGAGCUAAUGCCGGAUUACUCCUUGAACCGCACGGUUCAAGGAUGAAAGACGGUUUCGGCUGUCACUUACAGAUGGACCCGCGGCGCAUUAGCUAGUUGGUGAGGUAACGGCUCACCAAGGCGACGAUGCGUAGCCGACCUGAGAGGGUGAUCGGCCACACUGGGACUGAGACACGGCCCAGACUCCUACGGGAGGCAGCAGUAGGGAAUCUUCCGCAAUGGACGAAAGUCUGACGGAGCAACGCCGCGUGAGUGAUGAAGGUUUUCGGAUCGUAAAGCUCUGUUGUUAGGGAAGAACAAGUGCAAGAGUAACUGCUUGCACCUUGACGGUACCUAUCCAGGAAGGCACGGGUAAGUAAGUGCCAGCGGCCGCGGGAAUGCGUGGGUGG
RNAcentral lists this ribosomal RNA (515 nucleotides) under Bacillus altitudinis. RNAcentral describes it as "bacterial SSU rRNA". It matches the Rfam family "Bacterial small subunit ribosomal RNA", at positions 39 to 534 of the family's 1533-position model. The record is from RNAcentral. Lineage: Bacteria; Bacillati; Bacillota; Bacilli; Caryophanales; Bacillaceae.